AGUGAACGCUGGCGGCAGGCCUAACACAUGCAAGUCGAACGGCAGCACAGGAGAGCUUGCUCUCUGGGUGGCGAGUGGCGGACGGGUGGGGAAUACAUCGGAAUCUACCUUUUCGUGGGGGAUAACGUAGGGAAACUUACGCUAAUACCGCAUACGACCUUAGGGUGAAAGCGGAGGACCUUCGGGCUUCGCGCGGAUAGAUGAGCCGAUGUCGGAUUAGCUAGUUGGCGGGGUAAAGGCCCACCAAGGCGACGAUCCGUAGCUGGUCUGAGAGGAUGAUCAGCCACACUGGAACUGAGACACGGUCCAGACUCCUACGGGAGGCAGCAGUGGGGAAUACUGGACAAUGGGCGCAAGCCUGAUCCAGCCAUGCCGCGUGGGUGAAGAAGGCCUUCGGGUUGUAAAGCCCUUUUGUUGGGAAAGAAAAGCAGUCGGUUAAUACCCGAUUGUUCUGACGGUACCCAAAGAAUAAGCACCGGCUAACUUCGUGCCAGCCGCCGCAGUAA
RNAcentral lists this ribosomal RNA (506 nucleotides) under uncultured bacterium. RNAcentral's name for it is "partial 16S ribosomal RNA". It matches the Rfam family "Bacterial small subunit ribosomal RNA", at positions 29 to 523 of the family's 1533-position model. The record is from RNAcentral.